UACGUAGGGUGCGAGCGUUGUCCGGAAUUAUUGGGCGUAAAGGGCUCGUAGGCGGUUUGUCGCGUCGGGAGUGAAAACUCAGGGCUUAACCCUGAGCCUGCUUCCGAUACGGGCAGACUAGAGGUAUGCAGGGGGGAACGGAAUUCCUGGUGUAGCGGUGAAAUGCGCAGAUAUCAGGAGGAACACCGGUGGCGAAGGCGGUUCUCUGGGCAUUACCUGACGCUGAGGAGCGAAAGUGUGGGGAGCGAACAGG
This 253-nucleotide ribosomal RNA is filed under the name uncultured bacterium. Its description in RNAcentral is "partial 16S ribosomal RNA". It matches the Rfam family "Bacterial small subunit ribosomal RNA", at positions 524 to 776 of the family's 1533-position model. The record is from RNAcentral.